AAUCAGCUUCAAAAUCAGCCUCAAAAUCAGCCAAGGGCCUGAGGGGAGAAUGGGGAAAAAUCCAGGAAGGUGAAGAAAGAGAAGCUCGAGCUGUUUUCCUCGCAUGUUGAUGUUAUUUGAGGCAUUCAGCCAAAAUUCCUCGACAGGAAUCACAUCAGGGAUGUGUCCCCAGCAAGAAAAUGUCCUGUUCAUCAGUGAGGGGCUGUGACAGGGGGUUAGGAGAGACCAGCCCUCCACAGGGUCUUGCCCUUUCACCAUCCAGCUUUUCCCAAGCAGGAUCAGAAGCUGAAUUUGAGAAUUUUUACAAGGAUGUUCCCCGUCUGGGAUUUUCACAUUUUCUGGAACUGUUUGGCCUUGAAGAAAAGCCUGGACCAGAGCUGGGAGCAAGACUGGAGGCUCCUCCACAUUUCCAGAGAUUCUGCAAGAGGUCACGGGACUGGUCACCGUCCCAGAGGACACAGAAAUGCACAGAACUCGGUGCCCAUCCCCUCAGGGAUAUCCUCACUGCCCUUUUUAACCCCUUAAAUGGGGGUCACCCCUUUAUUUUCACCAGUUCUCUCCAGGGCUGGGCAGGUAGGAGGAAGCAUCUCUAUCAGUGAAACCUCCCAGGGGGUGUGGACGAGUGAGCUGGAUGGAGAGGAGGAAACAUUUGCAUUUACCUCAUCACAGCCCGGGUAUAAAACGGGCUGGGGAGGCGUGAGGCUUUCUCAGUUCCCAGGUGCAGGUGGGCAAGGAGGAGGCACCAAAGGGGGUCAUGGCAGCUUUCCUCCUCCUGGCACCCCUCCUGCUGCUGGGGCCGGUGGCUGGCCAGCCCCAGGCAGAGAUGGAAGGGUGCCUUCGGCUCUGGAACGCGACUGAAGGGAAUUUCUCUGUGGAAACAGCACCUGAGACUUACCAGGCCAACACAACCUACCAGGUGAUGAUAAAGGACGACAGAAACCACAGCAACAGCUCAGGGCAGUACCUGCUGCAGGCCCUGUCCCCCCAGAACACCUCGGUGGGGGAGUGGAUGGAGGCUGACACGGGGAAUUGCAGCUCUGUGCACACAGCGAUAUUAAACAUCACCCAGAACACGGCCCGCUGGACAUCCCCAAAUACAAACCUGUCCUCUGUGCAAAUAAGCGGCAGAAAGCACCACGUUUCCCACCACGCCCUCGACCGACUCGGUGUGCAGGGCUCGGAGCAGCUCCCUGCUGCCGGCUGCCCUGCUGCUCCUCACGGGCGGCCUGCUCUCCUAGGGGCCAGCACAGGAGGGCAGCCAGCUGUGCUGCCCCUUUUCCUGCUCGGGAAGGACGGGGCUGAGCUGAUUUACUCAGGAGAACGGUUCGUUUGUGUGUGUUCGGGUGAUAAAUGCACUUCCACGGUAAAUGAUAAAGGUUUGCGUGAGCGCCGGGCUGAUCCUCCCCCCGCUCCCCUCACCCACGGCCUCAGCAAAAGGAAAUAUUUCACAGCAGGGACCCCUCUGCCCUGGCUUUUCAGACACAGAAAUGGGUGAGCAGACCCCACUGAACACGGGUGAAUCCAUGGUCUCCUCAUCCCCUGGAAUUCUGUGAAGCACCAAGUGCCUGAAGAGAGGAGGAUUCCUCCUCCUCCCCUCCUCCUCCUCCUCCUCCUCCUCCUCCCAGGGCACCGGAGCUGCUGAGAAGCUCCAGGGCAGGUCUGGGUUUGCCUCUCCAUCCGCAGGGCUCAGGAGCAGAGCUGAGCCUGCCAGGGGAAAUCUGCUCAAAGCCCACCUGAACAGCUCCAGGGAAGCGCAGUCAGCUCCCCACCCCUGCCCUCCACACCAAGCCCUAGCAAUUCAUCCUCCGUGUUGUUAUUUGCUCCAAAAUCCCCCAAAUUUUGUUCUUUCAGCAAAGUUUCUCUUUGUUUUCCCUCUAUUUUUUUUCCUGGUUUUUCUGGGCAUUUUUUUUUCUUUUUUUUUUUUUUAAUUAAUCAACAGUUGAUUUUGCUGUAGGGCAAGAUUGCGUGGGCCAAUGGAUGUCUUGAUUUUAUUGUUGUUUGUAUUUUUAUAAGGGAAAAACUUUUAUUUAGAAAAUUUCCAACUUGUGGGAAGCAAUUUUUUUGUUUUUCUUAAACCGAUCUAAAUAAAAUAAGGAAUUAAAAUUGCUUCUUGCA
Molecule: long non-coding RNA, 2115 nt
Organism: Parus major (Great Tit)
Lineage: Eukaryota; Metazoa; Chordata; Aves; Passeriformes; Paridae
Source: Ensembl